Molecule: unclassified non-coding RNA, 378 nt
Filed under: plant metagenome
Description: partial contains 5.8S ribosomal RNA, internal transcribed spacer 2, and large subunit ribosomal RNA
Rfam family: 5.8S ribosomal RNA (bases 1-105)
Source: RNAcentral
GAAAUGCGAUAAGUAAUGUGAAUUGUAGAAUUCAGUGAAUCAUCGAAUCUUUGAACGCACCUUGCGCUCCUUGGUAUUCCUUGGAGCAUGCCUGUUUGAGUAUCAUGAAAUCUUCAAAGUAAAUCUUAUGUUAACUCAAUUGGUUUCUACUUUGGUAUUGGAGGUCUUUGCAGCUUCACACCUGCUCCUCUUUGUUCAUUAGCUGGAUCUCAGUGUUAUGCUUGGUUCCACUCGGCGUGAUAAGUUAUCUAUCGCUGAGGACACUGUAAAAGGUGGCCAAGGUAAAUGCAGAUGAACCGCUUCUAAUAGUCCAUUGACUUGGACAAUACUUUUAUGAUCUGAUCUCAAAUCAGGUAGGACUACCCGCUGAACUUAAGC